UACGUAGGUGACAAGCGUUGUCCGGAUUUACUGGGCGUAAAGAGCGCGCAGGCGGUCGUUCAAGUCGAGUGUGAAAGCCCCCGGCUCAACUGGGGAGGGUCACUCGAUACUGAUCGACUUGAAGGCAGGAGAGGGAAGCGGAAUUCCCGGUGUAGAGGUGAAAUUCGUAGAUAUCGGGAGGAACACCUGUGGCGAAGGCGGCCAUCUGGACGACAACUGACGCUGAGACGCGAAAGCGUGGGUAGCAAACAGG
Molecule: ribosomal RNA, 253 nt
Filed under: uncultured bacterium
Lineage: Bacteria
Description: partial 16S ribosomal RNA
Rfam family: Bacterial small subunit ribosomal RNA
Source: RNAcentral